AUUAACCCUAUUACUGUACACACAUAAGGUUGCAUGGUACCAUAUACACAAGUACAUGAAGAAUGCCUAGCAGUUGGUUAUUAGGAACUAAGGGUCAGCAGGUUCACCACCACAAAAUGCAUCUGGUUCAAAUGAUCUUGCAGACUCAUCAUCGUAGACUCCUGGUACAGAUCUACCACCAGCUUCUUCUGAUGGUAUAUAACUAUCCUUUUGGCCAUUCUCAAUAUUGACAAAAACAACUACACACACAAGCAAAGAUGUUGCAAGAACCACCAAGGUGUUCUUUAAUCUACUCAGGACAGGCUUCACAGAAAAAGAACCCAAAAGGCGGUCCCGUGCCAAAACUUCAGGAGUCUUCACCCAUAUCUGGCCAUCAUACCAUCCUGUUUCUUCAUAUUCAACAGUGGCACUAAGCAAUCUGUUACCAACAUAAGCCCAACCAAGAUACAUCCUCACAACAGCCAAAGUGACAACAAUAAGGCCACCAGAAACAGCACCCAAGAACGGUUUAAGGGGUUCGGGUAUGGGUCCAGCCGACCCGAAUAAGUUAACAGGAAGACCCACAAAGAGGGCAAAAGCAAGUCCAGUAGCAAAUAAACGGGAACAGUACUCAACCAAGUCACCAGAAGCCCAUGAAAAAGGGAAAGAAUCAGAAAGGGCUUUGAAUUCG
This 670-nucleotide unclassified non-coding RNA is filed under the name Hevea brasiliensis (rubber tree). Lineage: Eukaryota; Viridiplantae; Streptophyta; Magnoliopsida; Malpighiales; Euphorbiaceae. The record is from RNAcentral.